AUGGAUGGAUCUUCUGUGGCGGAGGACUCUGCAGUUAUUUCUGCACCCACACAGAGAACAAGGUCACAACAUGGUAUCUCGACACCAAAAAUACAUACGGAUGGUACGGUCAGGUAUGAUAAGGUACGGUUUGUUGGUCUUGCUGCUACAGUAGAACCAUACAACUUGGUAGAAGCUUCAGAACAUAACGAUUGGAAAAAUGCAAUGGAUGAGGAAUAUAAUGCUCCUAUGAAAAGCAGAACAUGGCAUUUAGUUCCUCCAGCAAAAGUUAGAAAUAUAAUUGAUUGUAAAUGGGUUUAUAGAAUCAAAAGAAGAGCAGAUGGAGAAAUAGAUAGAUACAAAGCUAGACUAGCUGCAAAGGGUUUUAAGCAAAGGUAUGUCAUAGACUAUGAGGAUACCUUUAGCCCAGUUGUGAAAGCAGCUACUGUCAGACUUGUUCUCUCUAUUGCAGUAUCAAACAAUUGGAGUCUUCAUCAAUUCGAUUUGCAGAAUGCGUUCCUUCAUGGCGUUCUAGAGGAGGAAGCAUAUAUGAAGCAACCACCUGGGUAUGAGGUAAAAGAUAAGCAUCAUUAUGUGUGCAUGCUUGAUAAAGCUUUAUAUGGUUUAAAACAAGCACCCAAAGCAUGGUACUCUAGGCUGAGUGAGAAACUCCAAAGUCUUGGUUUUCAGCCAUCCAAAGCUGACACAUCACUGUCCUUUUACAGAAAAGGAAAAAUCACCAUUUUGAUGUUAGUAUAUGUUGAUGAUAUAUUGUUGCAAGUUCAUCACAGGAUGCAACUAAGGCAUUGCUUGAAGAUCUAA
Molecule: ribosomal RNA, 801 nt
Filed under: Triticum aestivum (bread wheat)
Lineage: Eukaryota; Viridiplantae; Streptophyta; Magnoliopsida; Poales; Poaceae
Description: partial small subunit ribosomal RNA
Source: RNAcentral